Molecule: long non-coding RNA, 384 nt
Organism: Malania oleifera
Lineage: Eukaryota; Viridiplantae; Streptophyta; Magnoliopsida; Santalales; Ximeniaceae
Exons: 2
Source: RefSeq, a predicted model, not a curated record
GAAGCACGAAUACUUCCUCCUCUCUAUUUGUAUAAUUUUUAUUCAGUGUAAUUAGUGAGUGAUAUAUAAGUAUCAGCACAGCAGGGGGAGAGAAAUGGAUGGACCACAAUAUCAAGAUAUGUCAUACUAUGAUCAUGUCCAAAAGCGCCAAGAGGAGAAAGGCUGCUUGUAUGCUUUGCUGUUUGGGCUAUGUUGUUGCUGCUGCUGCUAUGAGACCUGUGAAUGCUGCUUGGACUUCGUCUGCUGCUGCUGCUGACUAAUUCAUUCUUGGUUUCAGUAAUUUUUAAAAAAUGGUUCUCUUGAAUAAAAGAAAUGGGUCUCCAUUUUGAUGAUCGUCAUUGUAUGACUUUUUAAGAUUUAUAGAAGUUUGGGAUUCCAUGAUAA